CAAUACUUUGAUGGCGACCGGCGCACGGGUGAGUAACACGUAUGCAACCUACCUACAUCAGGGGAAUAACCCGGAGAAAUUCGGACUAAUACCGCAUAAUACAGGGAUGCCGCAUGGUAAUAUUUGUUAAAGAUUUAUCGGAUGUAGAUGGGCAUGCGUUCCAUUAGCUAGUUGGUAAGGUAACGGCUUACCAAGGCAACGAUGGAUAGGGGAACUGAGAGGUUUGUCCCCCACACUGGAACUGAGACACGGACCAGACUCCUACGGGAGGCAGCAGUGAGGAAUAUUGGUCAAUGGACGAGAGUCUGAACCAGCCAAAUCGCGUGAAGGAAGACUGCCCUACGGGUUGUAAACUUCUUUUGUACAGGAAUAAAAGACAUUACGUGUAAUGUAUUGCAUGUACUGUACGAAUAAGCAUCGGCUAACUCCGUGCCAGCAGCCGCGGUAAUACGGAGGAUGCGAGCGUUAUCCGGAUUUAUUGGGUUUAAAGGGUGCGCAGGCGGGAUUUUAAGUCAGCGGUGAAAUUUUCAGGCUCAACCUGAACACUGCCGUUGAAACUGGGAUUCUUGAGUAUGGAUGAAGUAGGCGGAAUUCGUUGUGUAGCGGUGACAUGCUUAGAUAUAACGAGGAACUCCGAUUGCGUAGGCAGCUUACUAAGCCAUAACUGACGCUCAAG
Molecule: ribosomal RNA, 676 nt
Filed under: uncultured Dysgonomonas sp.
Lineage: Bacteria; Pseudomonadati; Bacteroidota; Bacteroidia; Bacteroidales; Dysgonomonadaceae
Description: bacterial SSU rRNA
Rfam family: Bacterial small subunit ribosomal RNA
Source: RNAcentral